This is a small nucleolar RNA of Malania oleifera, 106 nucleotides long. The record is from RefSeq and is a predicted model, not a curated record. Lineage: Eukaryota; Viridiplantae; Streptophyta; Magnoliopsida; Santalales; Ximeniaceae.
ACCUAAUGAUGUGGACAUUUAGGAAAUAGGUCCCUAAAGCACUCCCAAAUCUCAAAAUAGAGUUCCCCAUCUAUCUAUGAGAAACUUGUGAUGACUCUUCAAAGCU